Molecule: transfer RNA, 63 nt
Filed under: Diorhabda carinulata
Lineage: Eukaryota; Metazoa; Arthropoda; Insecta; Coleoptera; Chrysomelidae
Description: tRNA-Asp
Source: RNAcentral
AAAAAUUUAGUUAAUUUAUAACAUUAGUUUGUCAAGCUAAAAUAAUCACUUUGAUAAUUUUUA